AUCGCGAGAUCAGGAAGGUGGCCGAGUGUUUCGCCGCGGCCAUCAGGCACUUCUCCUUCCUGCCAUUGUAUGAAGAAGGAUGUGUUUGCUUCCCCUUGUGCCAUGAUUGUAAGUUUCCUGAGGCCUCCUCAGCCCUGCGGAACUGGCUAGAGCAAUGUAUCUUAGGCUCACUUAAGGAAGCUGUAGAGAUGAGCCCAAGGAGGGAAACCAGAAGAGCCCCCCAGGCUCGCCAGUUGUUUGUUGGCUCCCUACAAACAUGUCAUUCAAGUGGCUAAUCUUACAACAGCACAAAUUCAUCUAACCAGAAAGAGAAGAGGAGGCUCCAAAGGCACUUGACUACUGAGCAUCACCCUGGACGUGUACAAGUCUGCGUCCUUAUUGUUUUCUUCAUUGGGCCGAACUUUCUGGUCCUCAUCCAACAGCUCUUCUAUCACGUGUUCGAAAGUGUCAGCCAACGAUGUCAAGCCUCUUGAACCUGCCUUGGGCCCAUUCACGCUCUCCAGAGUCCCAUGGGUCCGCACACCUGGAGAUACUCUAUUAUAGCAAAGAAGAAAGAUAAUUUCAUUGAGCCAUCCUGUUUUACAGCACCCAACAGAAUCCCUUCAAAGCCUGGUGGUCUGACACCCUAUGCUACGUGACUCGUGACCCAUCCAUUUGUCAUGUUGUUUGGGAAUGUGGCUAAGGGGCUGAGAUGUGACUUGAAAAGAAAGGUAGAACCAGAUCAUCUCAAAUUUAUUAUCAAGGAAUAGUUCAGACAACGACUUCCGACCACAGAGACAGCAGAACAGAUGGUCCGACAUGGAUAGAGCAUCAGACACUCACAGACUGUGCCAACAAGAGCCAUCGAGUCAAAACCGCCAAAGGAAGGAGGGUCAUGGAAUGGGUUCUCUCACACCAAACUGAUGCCCAGAGGCCCUUGGCAUGAAUAACAAAGGCAACCAGACCCACAAGCCAUACUGAGUGGAUACAAAACCUAUACCUAGGCUGACAUCCCAAAUGUGUGUGGCAAGUUAGAUGAUGAUGGCACAAAAGACAGAACACCUUGCUUCUGGCCAUUGUCAGCUCUUGGAAGAGAGCACACUUUUAGAGGAGCAGCUGCAAGGAGCCUGAGAACAAAACUAGAAAUGUCUGUUAUGAAAGCCUUCGCAGGAAAUUCUGCAAGUGGCAACGUGGGUCAUUCCGUGUGUGUCACUAGAGCUGGCGCAAGCCCAUGGCCAUGGUGAGGCAGUGUUUCCACUGGAACUAAUCUGAUACCUGCACCAGCUCUUGGAACUGUGCAGUGUUCCCACUGCAAACUACGGAUGGGAGAAGAUAAAGAAGUUCAAUCUUUAAAAAAGAGAGGAUUUUCCCUCCUGGUGAGUCAAAAUGAACAAGAAAUACCCCAGGACCUCCCUUCCCUCCUUGGCCAUUAAUGAGAUUAAGGCAAUUAACUCACAUAGUAUAAAUGAAUCAUUUGAGGUGAUGACUGCAUUUUAGGCAAAUGAUGACUUUCUUGGUUCCAUUGGUUUGCAAGUAAAAGUUACACACAUUGAAAAGACACUGAAACAGAUUUCCUAAAUGCUUCAUUUUCUGGAUGCACCAAUGUUGACCUACUAUACCUGUUAAAUGGUUUUAAAAUAUCACCUUAAAAUAAAGGAAACUUCCAGCUACUAACUCAGCUCUGAAUGGGCUAUGAAAGGCUCCAAAGGUAUGUGAAAAAUUACUGUUAUUUUGCUUUAAAAAAUGUGAUGUCUAAGAGUGUCUGCAAUGUUCUAAUGCUUCAAAACAUGUACGUAAGCCUUGUUUAUCUGGAAAUCAUUUCUUUCUGCUUAUAUCAUUUAUAAAUAGAAAAUGUUCUGUAAUAACUUAAAAUAGUUCCACAUACAUAAUGCUUUUCGUGUCAUAAUACUUACUACUGGUCUAUAUUUACCAACAUUUAUCACAUUUUACAAAAUGAAGUAGAAGAAAAAAAAAGACAACGACUUUAUGGCCCUGGAAUUCCAGUAAUGGUGACCAACAUGUUUUAAAUUCCAGUAAAGGUUAUGGUUACAUUUCAACAA
RNAcentral lists this non-coding RNA (2039 nucleotides) under Pan troglodytes (chimpanzee). The record is from RNAcentral. Lineage: Eukaryota; Metazoa; Chordata; Mammalia; Primates; Hominidae.